UUCCAAGAGUUUAUGUGUGCAGCAGCGCACCAGCUAACUCACCAUAACCAUAGUGUCCUAUAUUGGCGGCUAGAGCUUACUGGGGGCUUCCAUAGCGUGGUCAAACACCUACCCCACAAAUGAGAAAUCUUUUGCCCUAUGAACUUGUGCUUGCAUCAACCAACCAACAUCAUCUCAUCAUUCGCAUCAGCAGUGAAGUUUAUAGAGUCCCGUCAUGGCCAUCAGCAGCGACAUCGACAGUUUUCCUAUUGACUUCCACCCUUGAAGGCAAUAUGAUGUAGUGAAACUAGCGGAGGUGGUAACACAAAGUCGGGAGUCCGGAAUUCUGAUUGUGAAGCCGACACAGCAGAGCAUAUUGUAGGAGGAUUGGCAACGGCAGGCAGUAGCCUUAAUUUAACUUUCAUAGCUUUGUCUCGCCUUGUCAAAUUGUUGAACCAAAACUAUACAAAGGCCAUCAUGUCGAACAGUGAUGGCCAGUUUUCAAUUAUGGAUAUAUCCAGAUCAAGCAUUCACGUCGUGUCGCUUGUCCAUGCUUCGUUGCUCGUUUCAAGUCCAUGUCAAGAGGGAUUACUAAAAAUAAUAUUAUGUCCACGAGUAGGUCGUACGAAGCUGCUGGGUUGAAAAUUGUUACCUAGGGCUUUGAAAUCCGGAGAAAACUUGAAAUAUGUAAAAAUUUCCGUUUGAAAUAUUUUUUAUCAUGGAAUCUUGGACGCCAUACUUGAGUUUUAAUCUGGACGCAAAAAAAGUGCCUUAAUACAGAUUUUAUAGUUUUUGAAAGAAUUGAAAAGAACAAAAGCUAGUUUAAUUCUUCAAUAAGGAAAAUCAAAGUAUUUUUUAGUACGUAUACUAUUCAAUAAUCUUAAGGGUAUGUGAAAAAAUGAGUCAGAGAAUCAGAAAUAAAUUGUAUCAAAUAAAUUAUGAAUGGGUCACUGUGGUGUA
This is a long non-coding RNA of Episyrphus balteatus (marmalade hoverfly), 939 nucleotides long. RefSeq lists it as uncharacterized. NCBI's taxonomy places the organism in Eukaryota, Metazoa, Arthropoda, Insecta, Diptera, Syrphidae. The record is from RefSeq and is a predicted model, not a curated record. The transcript has 4 exons.